GUUGAGUAACCCUACAAAAUAGUUAAAAGAUUAUACCUCCACUCACUAAUCCUCCUAGAAGGAUUAGUUUCUCAUGACGUUCAUAAACAAUAUAUAAUCGAUGUAAAGAGAAAGCAUGCUAAUGAAAACGACAAGAUAGAGUAAAUGAAAUAGCCUAAUUGUAUUGAUAUUAUGUGUAAAUCCACAGAGUUGAAUGAUUC
This 200-nucleotide long non-coding RNA is filed under the name Gossypium raimondii (Peruvian cotton). RNAcentral's name for it is "long non-coding RNA (GRAI_LNC009272)". The record is from RNAcentral. Lineage: Eukaryota; Viridiplantae; Streptophyta; Magnoliopsida; Malvales; Malvaceae.